This 71-nucleotide transfer RNA is filed under the name Loxodonta africana (African savanna elephant). It matches the Rfam family "tRNA". From Rfam's summary of the family: Transfer RNA (tRNA) molecules are approximately 80 nucleotides in length. The record is from Rfam by way of RNAcentral. Lineage: Eukaryota; Metazoa; Chordata; Mammalia; Proboscidea; Elephantidae.
GCAGUGGUGGUUCAGUGGUAGAAUUCUUGCCUUCCGUGAGAGAGACAUGGGUUCAAUUCCUGGCCAGUGCA